CGCAUUCAUGGCACGCACUCGCUCCGGCACCUGCAACAGCAACAGAAACAGAAGACGCAUUUGUAGUCGGGUAAAGAAUCGAACGGGGUUGCGGCAAAAGCCUCGAAUAAUGUCUACCACAGCAGUAUGCUGCCUCUCGUCGCCACCUCUUUCGCCUUGUUCGCUACCUGAUUGCAGGCACUGUGCAGUGAACAAUUUAAUUUAAACGGAAAAUAUGGCCCCACAAUGCCGUCGUCGUCGACCAGGCGUGCAAUGGACGAGGGACGUGAUGAGCUACAGAAUACCCUGCACUUCUGAAGUCUUCAACUUAUUCAAA
Long non-coding RNA from Drosophila sulfurigaster albostrigata, 316 nucleotides. RefSeq lists it as uncharacterized. The record is from RefSeq and is a predicted model, not a curated record. The transcript has 2 exons. Lineage: Eukaryota; Metazoa; Arthropoda; Insecta; Diptera; Drosophilidae.